This 449-nucleotide ribosomal RNA is filed under the name uncultured soil bacterium. Its description in RNAcentral is "bacterial SSU rRNA". It matches the Rfam family "Bacterial small subunit ribosomal RNA", at positions 26 to 521 of the family's 1533-position model. The record is from RNAcentral.
AGAACGAACGCUGGCGGCAUGCCUAACACAUGCAAGUCGAACGAGACCUUCAGGUCUAGUGGCGCACGGGUGCGUAACGCGUGGGAAUCUACCCUUGGGUUCGGAAUAACAGUUGGAAACGACUGCUAAUACCGGAUGAUGUCGCAAGACCAAAGAUUUAUCGCCCAAGGAUGAGCCCGCGUAGGAUUAGCUAGUUGGUGAGGUAAAGGCUCACCAAGGCGACGAUCCUUAGCUGGUCUGAGAGGAUGAUCAGCCACACUGGGACUGAGACACGGCCCAGACUCCUACGGGAGGCAGCAGUGGGGAAUAUUGGACAAUGGGCGAAAGCCUGAUCCAGCAAUGCCGCGUGAGUGAUGAAGGCCUUAGGGUUGUAAAGCUCUUUACCGGGAUGAUAAUGACAGUACGGAGAAUAAGCUCCGGACUAACUCCGCGACCAGACGAGCCGCGGU